GAUGAAGGACGUAGCGAAAUGCGAUAAGUAAUGUGAAUUGCAGAAUUCAGUGAAUCAUCGAAUCUUUGAACGCACCUUGCGCCCUUUGGCCAUUCCGAAGGGCAUGCCUGUUUGAGUAUCAUGAACACCUCAACUCUUCAUGGAUUUCCAUGAUGAGCUUGGACUUUGGGGGGCUUGCCGGCCUGUGGUCGGCUCCUCUCAAAUGAAUCAUCUUACCGGUUUUUGGUGGGCAUCACAGGUGUGAUAACUAUCUACGCUUGUGGUUUUCCACCAGGGUAACCUUCAGCAGUGGAGGUUCACUGGAGCUUACAAAUGUCUCUCCUCCGUGAGGACAGCCCUUUGAAUGUUUGAUCUCAAAUCAGGUAGGACUACCCGCUGAACUUAAGCAUAUCAAUAAGCGGAGGA
This 405-nucleotide unclassified non-coding RNA is filed under the name soil metagenome. RNAcentral's name for it is "partial contains 5.8S ribosomal RNA, internal transcribed spacer 2, and large subunit ribosomal RNA". The stretch from base 1 to 121 matches the Rfam family "5.8S ribosomal RNA", at positions 35 to 154 of the family's 154-position model. The record is from RNAcentral.